CCUACGGGGUGCAGCAGUGGGGAAUAUUGGACAAUGGGCGAAAGCCUGAUCCAGCCAUGCCGCGUGUGUGAAGAAGGCCUUCGGGUUGUAAAGCACUUUCAGUGGGGAAGAAAGCCUUGGGGCUAAUACCCUCGAGGAAGGACAUCACCCACAGAAGAAGCACCGGCUAACUCCGUGCCAGCAGCCGCGGUAAUACGGAGGGUGCGAGCGUUAAUCGGAAUUACUGGGCGUAAAGCGCGCGUAGGCGGUCUGAUAAGCCGGUUGUGAAAGCCCCGGGCUCAACCUGGGAACGGCAUCCGGAACUGUCAGGCUAGAGUGCAGGAGAGGAAGGAAGAAUCCCCGGUGUAGCGGUGAAAUGCGUAGAGAUCGGGAGGAAUACCAGUGGCGAAGGCGGCCUUCUGGACUGACACUGACGCUGAGGUGCGAAAGCGUGGGUAGCAAACAGGAUUAGAUACCCUAGUAGUC
RNAcentral lists this ribosomal RNA (465 nucleotides) under Vreelandella stevensii. Its description in RNAcentral is "partial 16S ribosomal RNA". It matches the Rfam family "Bacterial small subunit ribosomal RNA", at positions 338 to 795 of the family's 1533-position model. Lineage: Bacteria; Pseudomonadati; Pseudomonadota; Gammaproteobacteria; Oceanospirillales; Halomonadaceae. The record is from RNAcentral.